UUGCAUCAUGAUUUACAUUUGAGUGAGUGGCGAACUGGUGAGUAACACGUGGGAAACCUGCCCAGAAGCGGGGGAUAACACCUGGAAACAGAUGCUAAUACCGCAUAACAACUUGGACCGCAUGGUCCGAGCUUGAAAGAUGGCUUCGGCUAUCACUUUUGGAUGGUCCCGCGGCGUAUUAGCUAGAUGGUGGGGUAACGGCUCACCAUGGCAAUGAUACAUAGCCGACCUGAGAGGGUAAUCGGCCACAUUGGGACUGAGACACGGCCCAAACUCCUACGGGAGGCAGCAGUAGGGAAUCUUCCACAAUGGACGAAAGUCUGAUGGAGCAACGCCGCGUGAGUGAAGAAGGGUUUCGGCUCGUAAAACUCUGUUGUUAAAGAAGAACAUAUCUGAGAGUAACUGUUCAGGUAUUGACGGUAUUUAACCAGAAAGCCACGGCUAACUACGUGCCAGCAGCCGCGGUAAUACGUAGGUGGCAAGCGUUGUCCGGAUUUAUUGGGCGUAAAGCGAGCGCAGGCGGUUUUUUAAGUCUGAUGUGAAAGCCUUCGGCUCAACCGAAGAAGUGCAUCGGAAACUGGGAAACUUGAGUGCAGAAGAGGACAGUGGAACUCCAUGUGUAGCGGUGAAAUGCGUAGAUAUAUGGAAGAACACCAGUGGCGAAGGCGGCUGUCUGGUCUGUAACUGACGCUGAGGCUCGAAAGUAUGGGUAGCAAACAGGAUUAGAUACCCUGGUAGUCCAUACCGUAAACGAUGAAUGCUAAGUGUUGGAGGGUUUCCGCCCUUCAGUGCUGCAGCUAACGCAUUAAGCAUUCCGCCUGGGGAGUACGGCCGCAAGGCUGAAACUCAAAGGAAUUGACGGGGGCCCGCACAAGCGGUGGAGCAUGUGGUUUAAUUCGAAGCUACGCGAAGAACCUUACCAGGUCUUGACAUACUAUGCAAAUCUAAGAGAUUAGACGUUCCCUUCGGGGACAUGGAUACAGGUGGUGCAUGGUUGUCGUCAGCUCGUGUCGUGAGAUGUUGGGUUAAGUCCCGCAACGAGCGCAACCCUUAUUAUCAGUUGCCAGCAUUAAGUUGGGCACUCUGGUGAGACUGCCGGUGACAAACCGGAGGAAGGUGGGGAUGACGUCAAAUCAUCAUGCCCCUUAUGACCUGGGCUACACACGUGCUACAAUGGAUGGUACAACGAGUUGCGAACUCGCGAGAGUAAGCUAAUCUCUUAAAGCCAUUCUCAGUUCGGAUUGUAGGCUGCAACUCGCCUACAUGAAGUCGGAAUCGCUAGUAAUCGCGGAUCAGCAUGCCGCGGUGAAUACGUUCCCGGGCCUUGUACACACCGCCCGUCACACCAUGAGAGUUUGUAACACCC
This 1366-nucleotide ribosomal RNA is filed under the name Lactiplantibacillus plantarum. RNAcentral's name for it is "bacterial SSU rRNA". It matches the Rfam family "Bacterial small subunit ribosomal RNA", at positions 67 to 1422 of the family's 1533-position model. Lineage: Bacteria; Bacillati; Bacillota; Bacilli; Lactobacillales; Lactobacillaceae. The record is from RNAcentral.